UUGGAGGGCAAGUCUGGUGCCAGCAGCCGCGGUAAUUCCAGCUCCAAUAGCGUAUAUUAAAGUUGUUGCAGUUAAAAAGCUCGUAGUUGAAUUUCGGGGUCAGUAGGUUGGUCGUGCCACCGGUACGUACUGGUCUCACUGAUUCCUCCUUCCUGAUGAGCUGUAAUGCCAUUAAUUUGGUGUUGCAGGGAAUCUGGACUGUUACUUUGAAAAAAUUGAGUGUUUAAAGCAGGCUAACGCUUGAAUACAUUAGCAUGGAAUAA
Molecule: ribosomal RNA, 263 nt
Filed under: uncultured Glomus
Lineage: Eukaryota; Fungi; Glomeromycota; Glomeromycetes; Glomerales; Glomeraceae
Description: partial 18S ribosomal RNA
Rfam family: Eukaryotic small subunit ribosomal RNA
Source: RNAcentral